CUAUCGCUAAAACUCUCUUUUCUCAUCUUCCAGAAGCUCAGAUCUGAACUCUGACCCCUCGAUUACUCGCUUUUCAAGCUCCAAUGGCGGUAGCACAAUAGCCAAGCCUAUAUGUUCAAUCUGCUACGAAGAUCUCAAUCCAAUCAUCGAAGCCCUUCAAUCAAUCUCCAUUUGCGGCCAUGUCUUCCACGAGCUCUGCCUUCAACAAUGUAUCGAGUACUGUUCAAAUGUGAAGAAAAAAUGAUGUCCUGUAUGCAAGCAGGCCUUUUCGGAGGCCAAUGUUAGUCGGCUUUAUUUCCAAUCAGUAGGCAACCUCUAUCAGAAAUUGAUCAAUUGCGAAGAUAAUCCAGGGGAGUUGCAUAGGGAAAUGGAGAAAUUGGAAGGGAAGGUUUUAGGACUCAGAUCGGCGAUAGAGCGUCAUCAGAAAGAUGUCGAAGAACUCAAUGAGGAGGAACUUGAUAGAUCAACUUUGGAGUGCGUAAGGCUGCAGGAAAGGAAUAUGGUAUUGGCCAAAGAGCUUGCAACGUUGAAACUUUCAAGAAUUGCACAGCAAGGAGGUGAAAUCGUCAUCUGAUUCAUAUUUGAAAGGUCUCAUGAUAUUAAAGGUGAUCUUGGGAACAGUUUGAUGCUUAAAAUACUUACAAGUUUCCCUGAACAAAGUGCUGAAGUGUUUAGUUGCAUGGUUACCCAACAGGUUUUUACAUAUUUAUGUGAGAUUACUAUUACUAUCCCGUGGAGAAUCUUAUCAGCUAAAUUCUGAGUGAUCUGCCUCAUUAUGUUUUAUCAUGUGCGAUCUUCAAAUUUUCUAGUCUGAUACUUAUUGGAGCUUGUUUUAAUUCUAAAUUGCUAUUGUUGUUCAUUCACAUUUGUGUUUUGUGUGAAGUGCAAAAGUCAUGUUCUCGAUAUCCCUGUUGAAGCAGAUUAUUUACAGAAAUUUCUAUUAUUUUUACCAAAAGUAGAUAAAAAUGGAGACACUACCUGAAUAGCGUGGUUCUUAGCAUCUAUAUAACCCUUAAAGCACAGGGUUGUAACACUGAUAUCUGUAUGUUGUGAGAACAGCCUGAGAAAAUGUUUAUGGAUUAAGAUCAUCAUCUGCAAGGCUACAAUGUGGAUACUAAGAGAAGCAACUAGAAGCCUGGAAUAGAUGGUCUUCACAUAGCAAAAGGACAAAAGAAAUACCUAAAAAGAGUCGAAAGACAGAA
This is a non-coding RNA of Camellia sinensis, 1202 nucleotides long. NCBI's taxonomy places the organism in Eukaryota, Viridiplantae, Streptophyta, Magnoliopsida, Ericales, Theaceae. The record is from RefSeq and is a predicted model, not a curated record.